UUCUUGAUCACUGCUAAUUU
Molecule: unclassified non-coding RNA, 20 nt
Filed under: Mus musculus (house mouse)
Lineage: Eukaryota; Metazoa; Chordata; Mammalia; Rodentia; Muridae
Description: oocyte_clustered_small_RNA5963
Source: RNAcentral